UCUAUGGAGUCUCUCGACGGUUCCCCGACGGUGAAGCGAAGGGGAUUAAUAGGGAACACGGUGCGGACGACCCAACAGGGACCAAAACCGUGGCUGCCCCCGCAACUGUAAGCGGAUUGCCGUCCAUCCUCCUGGCGCCUCGAGCGCCGUGCCACUGUGCCAACCGGCACGGGAAGGCAGAUGGACGACAGAUAUCCGUAAGCCAGGAGACCUGCCGUCAUGCGUUCGCUCCA
RNAcentral lists this non-coding RNA (233 nucleotides) under Sinorhizobium alkalisoli. Lineage: Bacteria; Pseudomonadati; Pseudomonadota; Alphaproteobacteria; Hyphomicrobiales; Rhizobiaceae. RNAcentral also lists the same sequence under 1 other name. The record is from RNAcentral.